CCUACGGGAGGCAGCAGUGGGGAAUAUUGGGCAAUGGAGGAAACUCUGACCCAGCGACGCCGCGUGCGGGAUGAAGGCCUUCGGGUUGUAAACCGCUUUCAGUAGGGAAGAAGCGAAAGUGACGGUACCUACAAAAGAAGCACCGGCUAACUAUGUGCCAGCAGCCGCGGUAAUACAUAGGGUGCAAGCGUUGUCCGGAAUUAUUGGGCGUAAAGAGCUCGUAGGUCGUUUGUUACGUCGGAUGUGAAAACCUGAGGCUCAACCUCAGGCCUGCAUUCGAUACGGGCAAACUAGAGUUUGGUAGGGGAGACUGGAAUUCCUGGUGUAGCGGUGGAAUGCGCAGAUAUCAGGAGGAACACCAAUGGCGAAGGCAGGUCUCUGGGCCAAUACUGACACUGAGGAGCGAAAGUCUGGGGAGCGAACAGGAUUAGAUACCCUGGUAGUCCAGACCGUAAACGGUGGGCACUAGUUGUGGGAACCUUCCACGGUUUCUGCGACGCAGCUAACGCAUUAAGUGCCCCGCCUGGGGAGUACGAUCGCAAGNUUAAAACCUUAAGGAAUUGACGGCUGAGAGNGCGAGCGACGACGAGGAGAG
RNAcentral lists this ribosomal RNA (595 nucleotides) under uncultured bacterium. Its description in RNAcentral is "bacterial SSU rRNA". It matches the Rfam family "Bacterial small subunit ribosomal RNA", at positions 338 to 944 of the family's 1533-position model. The record is from RNAcentral.